Molecule: ribosomal RNA, 787 nt
Filed under: Brevibacterium sediminis
Lineage: Bacteria; Bacillati; Actinomycetota; Actinomycetes; Micrococcales; Brevibacteriaceae
Description: bacterial SSU rRNA
Rfam family: Bacterial small subunit ribosomal RNA
Source: RNAcentral
CUGAAGCCGACAGCUUGCUGUUGGUGGAUGAGUGGCGAACGGGUGAGUAACACGUGAGUAACCUGCCCCUGAUUUCGGGAUAAGCCUGGGAAACUGGGUCUAAUACCGGAUACGACCAACCCUCGCAUGAGGGUUGGUGGAAAGUUUUUCGAUCGGGGAUGGGCUCGCGGCCUAUCAGCUUGUUGGUGGGGUAAUGGCCCACCAAGGCGACGACGGGUAGCCGGCCUGAGAGGGCGACCGGCCACACUGGGACUGAGACACGGCCCAGACUCCUACGGGAGGCAGCAGUGGGGAAUAUUGCACAAUGGGGGAAACCCUGAUGCAGCGACGCAGCGUGCGGGAUGACGGCCUUCGGGUUGUAAACCGCUUUCAGCAGGGAAGAAGCGAAAGUGACGGUACCUGCAGAAGAAGUACCGGCUAACUACGUGCCAGCAGCCGCGGUAAUACGUAGGGUACGAGCGUUGUCCGGAAUUAUUGGGCGUAAAGAGCUCGUAGGUGGUUGGUCACGUCUGCUGUGGAAACGCAACGCUUAACGUUGCGCGUGCAGUGGGUACGGGCUGACUAGAGUGCAGUAGGGGAGUCUGGAAUUCCUGGUGUAGCGGUGAAAUGCGCAGAUAUCAGGAGGAACACCGGUGGCGAAGGCGGGACUCUGGGCUGUAACUGACACUGAGGAGCGAAAGCAUGGGGAGCGAACAGGAUUAGAUACCCUGGUAGUCCAUGCCGUAAACGUUGGGCACUAGGUGUGGGGGACAUUCCACGUUCUCCGCGCCGUAGCUAACGCAUUAAG